This is a long non-coding RNA of Alligator sinensis (Chinese alligator), 265 nucleotides long. RefSeq lists it as uncharacterized. The record is from RefSeq and is a predicted model, not a curated record. Lineage: Eukaryota; Metazoa; Chordata; Crocodylia; Alligatoridae. The transcript is spliced from 3 exons.
UAUUGCCUGGCUGCAAGGCUGUAUGCAAGAUCCUGGAGGCUGUGACUGUUCCAGACCCGCUUGAAGAGUCUGCCGAAGGCACUGCCGGUGUUUGAGAGUCUACCUCCUUGUCAGUCAUGGCAUUAUACAAGAUGACACUCCCCAGUUGACUUCUUAGUUGAUUUAGUUGACUUCACAGCCUGUAAUGCUCCAACACUUGCUGUUUUUAAGAUAGAACCUCUAUAACCUCAUCAUUCAGGUAAGUGUGUGUGUGUAUAUGUAAGUA